Molecule: ribosomal RNA, 516 nt
Filed under: uncultured bacterium
Lineage: Bacteria
Description: bacterial SSU rRNA
Rfam family: Bacterial small subunit ribosomal RNA
Source: RNAcentral
GACGAACGCUGGCGGCGUGCUUAAUACAUGCAAGUCGAGCGAGGUUACUGUUUUGGAUCCCUUCGGGGUGAAGAAGCUUUAACCUAGCGGCGGACGGGUGAGUAACGCGUGGGUAACCUACCCCAAAGUCCGGGAUAACAGCGGGAAACCGUUGCUAAUACCGGAUGCCUUUACAGGGAGGCAUCUUUCUGUAAAGAAAGCAUAAGCGCUCUAGGAUGGGCCCGCGUCCCAUUAGCUAGUUGGUGAGGUAACAGCUCACCAAGGCGACGAUGGGUAGCCGGCCUGAGAGGGUGACCGGCCACACUGGGACUGAGACACGGCCCAGACUCCUACGGGAGGCAGCAGUAGGGAAUAUUGCGCAAUGGGCGAAAGCCUGACGCAGCGACGCCGCGUGAGUGAUGAAGGCCUUCGGGUCGUAAAACUCUGUCCUCAGGGAAGAAAAUUUGACGGUACCUGAGGAGGAAGCCCCGGCUAACUACGUGCCAGCAGCCGCGGUAAUACGUAGGGGGCGAGCGU